Trachemys scripta elegans is the source of this 3678-nucleotide long non-coding RNA. RefSeq lists it as uncharacterized. The transcript is spliced from 4 exons. The record is from RefSeq and is a predicted model, not a curated record. Lineage: Eukaryota; Metazoa; Chordata; Testudines; Emydidae.
GACUUCGGACUUCUUUGGAGACACUCGUACAAUAAAUGGGGCAAACUCAUCCCUGGUGUGACACCGCUGAAUUCAACAGGCUUACACCACAUAUGAAUUUUCCCUAGUAUUUAAAUACAGAAUUGCAAGAGUCAUGUUUACAUAAGUCAUGUUUAAAUAAGCAGCCAGAAGGGCAUAAUGUCUAUUCUACAAAGACAGUGGACUAGUACUCAAAAUAUUCCCCGCUUUAAACAUUUUUUUACAAUAAAGGUGCCAAGCUACUUACCUGUGCCAUUUCCUCAACUUUGGAAGAUGUAUGGGCGCCCAGAGCAAAGCUGUCAUAUCUGUGAAAAGAAUUUAAAAAGCUGCUUUGAAGAUAAACACGAUCAAAUUUUAUAAGGGAGUAAAUAGCCGGCUUGCUUCCUUUUAAUAUCCAGCAAGAAGCUUCCGAAAAUACUUUUUAUGAAGAGUCCACAGAGUUUGUCAUGUUAUUUCUCAAAUGCAUCUUAUGAUAUAUUUUUUUCAUCCAUCAGGUUGCUGGAAUCUGCAACUUGUUAAUGUUCCAAGUGAACAGCCAAGAAGGGACCUCAGAUUAAUGGCAUUUACGCUGCUGGAAUAUCAGUAAGCUACUAUUAAGCAGUAGAAUGAACACCUGUUGUGUAUAGCUCACCGUGGCUGCUGCCGAGUCUGGUGCUUUAAGGUGUGCUUCCUUGAUUUUUUGAAGGAGAAGAGUGACGCAAAAGGAGUUCUGAAUCCCAGAAUGGAAGAUAAUGAAAAUUUCACUUUUCUGUUGGAGGCACACUGCAGGAGUAUUAAGAGCCAGAAAGUGAAACUGACUACAUCUGGGAUGCACACACUAUGGAGAUUUCUGUAAAAGGCUGUAAUCCUGCAAAGGUUUAUUUAUCUAACAUCUUCAUGUCUGUCAUAUUAAGAAUGUGCAUAUUAUGUCUCCACAAAAUUAGUGUCUAAAUCUGAAAAUGUUUAUAAUGAAUUUUUUUUAGAAGAACAAAAUAGUUUUUGUCAAUAGUGGAUUGGCAAAACAAUACAAGGGUUGGGUGUAGACUAGUAGAAAGUGUCCUUUUAACCUGUCACCUUUCAUUUUCUCUCAAUAUUUCUUUGUUUUUCCUUCUCUGAAUUUCUUCACAUGGUGGCACUAUUAUUUACUGCUUUUACAGCACUCAUAAUCAAACGAACAGUAAAGGGUGUUAGGGAUAAAGGUCACAACAAGAAGAUUGCGCAAUAUAUACAUUCAAUCUUUUGCCCUCUGAGGGCCAGAUCCAAAGCCCACUGAAGUCAAUGGAAAGACUCUUCCCACUGAUGCAAGGAAACGCCUCAAAAGUAAAGGUACAAAGGAUUUUUGGGAAUGAAACCCCUGACUCCGUAGAUCAGCCUCUCAACUCUAGUCCUCUGGCCCUCCUCUCUCUGGCUGGAUACCACUUUAAGGAGCUGGACCGUCAAUGGGCAGAGACCCACUCCUGCACAUAUCUCCUACAUGCACCCUGGAAUGCAGUUACUGCUAUUUUAAGUGGGAACAUCUUAAGGCAAGUCUACAUUACAAAAUUAAGUUGAGCUAAGUUACGUUGACAUACAGCCAUUGCAGUAAUUACAUCGCUUUUGCGUGUCCACACUAUGUCGACGGUGCACAUCUUCACAAGGAGCGCAUGCACUGAUUUAACUGUCAUGGCGGGGCAUUGUGGGACAGCUUCUGAAAGGCAGCAACAGGAGCAUAGGCAGACAGACUGAUUGGAAGUGGAAACCAUUGGAACUUCAUAACAAGCUGCCAGUGGGCAGCUACAGGAGCAAGAAGCCAGAUUCAUCCCCAUGGCGAGUACACAAAUUACCUCUGUAUGACAGCUCACGAAGCAGGAGUUCAGAGGAAGCUAAGAAAUCAGGAGUUCAGAUUGUCUUUAAGUCAAAUAAUGCAAGUCCUUAAAGCACAGAACACUACAAACUGAGACCACGAUAGCUAAGUGUAUUCAUCACCCAGCUCAAGCUAUAUCGACGUUUCACAACCCCUCCAGCCAUUAAACCACUUCAUUACCAGAGGCUGAAAGAACAGUCAGAGAGGAACUUUGUAUCACUGAAUCUUGACAUCUGAAUCUCACUAUUACCUUGUACGAGACAAGGUGGGUGAGGUAAUAUCUUUCAUUUGACCAACUUUUGUUGGCAAGAGAUAAGCUUUUGAGCCACACAGAGCUCUUCUUCAGGUUUUAUCUUGUGUGGUCAGUCGUAGUUUAUCGUGAAGAUGUUAUUUUGUGCCAUGGUGCUAUCAGGGAACAAGUAGACAAGGCAGAAAUUGGAGUAUCUUUUUACUGGAUCUAUGAAUAGGUUAGAAAACAAGUUCUUGAGUGACAGGUCAUUAAGGGCAUUAUAAUUCCACAGCUGUCAGCUGCUCUCUGUCUAGAAAGUGGGCCUGAUUUUCAAUUGUCCUGAACCUGGUUCAGUCAUUUACCUUUAUGCAGAGUGCAUUAUGGGUGUACAACACUACUAUUGUGAUUUGGUAAUGUUCCAUAACCAAUUUGUGCUGUUUGUGAACAGGUAUAAAUUACUAUAGGAGCUGCAGGACGGGGGGGGAGGGGAAAUCAGUUUGUGCAGAAUGGCUGAUGUACUGCACUUGUUAUCACACUGCCUAUGACCAAGAUGUUCACAAGCUACCUAGCAAUAUAGUAAUAAAACAACUAUAGGUUCAUGAUGCAAUUGAGGGGAAGAAUGUUUAUAAUCUUUUAAAGUAUGCUGUGUGGGUGUGUAAAUUCCAAAUGGUGGGUAAGGGAAUGUAGCUACUGACAUAACCUGACUGAUUAGAAGUGACUCUCUUAGAUAAUGUCCCUUAUAGUGGUUUUGAUUUGUACGUAAUCAAGACAUGUCUACUCUUCCAGUCUAAUGAGUUUUUAGUGGGUCAUGAAAAAAAGAUUUUUCAUAAACAAAUACCAUCUCAGUAGAUAAUAACAACACGCUUAGGGAAAUCAUAGCAAACCCCUGCUCUUCCAUGCAGGUGACUUAUAUACACUUGGUGUAUGCAGUAAUAUAUACACUUGGUGCUUUAAAUGUCAUACAACUGAAAACAAUUAUAAGCCAAAUCUGGGAGAAAAAAAUGUAAUCAGAAAAAUCUAAAUGACAAUGGUUUAAGAACACUCUACUACACUGUUUUUCAAAAUUCGGGUCGCGACCCAGUACUCGAUCACGGCACAUCAGGCACUGGGUCGCUCUGGUCAGCACCACCGACCAGGACAUUAAAAGUACCGUUGGCGGUGCUGCCCAGCUAAGGCAGGCUAGUGCCUACCUGUUCCGACACCACGCUGCACCCCGGAAGCAGCCAGGAGUGGGUCCGGCUUCUAAGCAGGAGGGCCACGGGGCUCAGCGUGCUGCCCCUGCCCUGAACACCGGCUCUGCACUCCCAUUGGCCUGCAGGCAAGAGUUGUGCGAAGCCGCUUGCACACCUCCACCUAGGAGCCAGAGUGCUGCUGGCUGCUUCCAGGGCGCAGCGCAGUCCGUGGUGCCAGGACAGGUGGAAAGCCUGCCUCUACACCCCGGCUGCGCCACUGACUGGGAGUUUCCAGAGGUAAGUCCGCAAACCAGCCCUGUGCCCCAAUCUCCUGCCCCAGCCCUGAGACCCCCCCCAAACCUGAACCCCUUCCUGCAUCCCAAACCCCUCAUCACCGGCCCCACCCCAGAGUCUGCAUCCCCAGCCCAGAGCCCUGA